AUUCAACUGAUGAGUCCCAAAUAAAAUGAAACGCAUAUCCUGAAU
This 45-nucleotide non-coding RNA is filed under the name Schistosoma margrebowiei. Lineage: Eukaryota; Metazoa; Platyhelminthes; Trematoda; Strigeidida; Schistosomatidae. The record is from RNAcentral.